RNAcentral lists this ribosomal RNA (406 nucleotides) under uncultured bacterium. RNAcentral describes it as "partial 16S ribosomal RNA". It matches the Rfam family "Bacterial small subunit ribosomal RNA", at positions 30 to 526 of the family's 1533-position model. The record is from RNAcentral.
AUUGAACGCUGGCGGCAGGCCUAACACAUGCAAGUCGAACGAGUGGCGGACGGGUGAGUAAUGUCUGGGAAACUGCCCGAUGGAGGGGGACGACUACUGGAAACGGUAGCUAAUACCGCAUACCAUCGGAGGUGCCCAGAUGGGAUUGGCUAGGAGGUGGGGUAACGUCUCACCUAGGCGACGAUCCCUAUCUGGGCUGAGAGGAUGACCAGCCACACUGGAACUGAGCCACGGUCCAGACUCCAACGGUAGGCAGCAGUGGGAAAUAUUGCACAAUGGGCGCAAUCCUGAUGCAGCCAUGCCGCGUGUAUGAAGAAGGCCUUCGGGUUGUAAAGUACUUUCAGCGGGGAGGCGGUACUCGCAGAAGAAGCACCGGCUAACUCCGUGCCAGCAGCCGCGGUAAUAG